RNAcentral lists this ribosomal RNA (490 nucleotides) under uncultured bacterium. RNAcentral's name for it is "partial 16S ribosomal RNA". It matches the Rfam family "Bacterial small subunit ribosomal RNA", at positions 29 to 505 of the family's 1533-position model. The record is from RNAcentral.
AGUGAACGCUGGCGGUAGGCCUAACACAUGCAAGUCGAACGGCAGCACAGUAAGAGCUUGCUCUUACGGGUGGCGAGUGGCGGACGGGUGAGGAAUACAUCGGAAUCUACUUUUUCGUGGGGGAUAACGUAGGGAAACUUACGCUAAUACCGCAUACGACCUACGGGUGAAAGCAGGGGAUCCUCGGACCUUGCGCGAUUGAAUGAGCCGAUGUCGGAUUAGCUAGUUGGCGGGGUAAAGGCCCACCAAGGCGACGAUCCGUAGCUGGUCUGAGAGGAUGAUGAGCCAGAAUGGAACAGAGUCACGGACCAGGCUCCUACGGGAGGCAGCAGUGGGGAGUAUUGGACAAUGGGCGCAGGCCUGAUACAGCCAUACCGCGGGGGUGAAGAAGGCCUUCGGGUUGUAAAGCCCUUUUGUUGGGAAAGAAAAGCAGCAGGUUAAUACCCCGCUGUUCUGACGGUACCCAAAGAAUAAGCACCGGCUAACUUCG